GCGGCGUACGGGUGCGUAACACGUGUGCAACCUGCCUCUAUCUGGGGGAUAGCCUUCCGAAAGGAAGAUUAAUACCCCAUAAUAUAAUGAUUGGCAUCAAUUAUCAUUGAAAACUCCGGUGGAUAGAGAUGGGCACGCGCAAGAUUAGAUAGUUGGUGGGGUAACGGCCCACCAAGUCGAUGAUCUUUAGGGGUCCUGAGAGGGAGAUCCCCCACACUGGUACUGAGACACGGACCAGACUCCUACGGGAGGCAGCAGUGAGGAAUAUUGGACAAUGGGUGGAAGCCUGAUCCAGCCAUCCCGCGUGAAGGACGACGGCCCUAUGGGUUGUAAACUUCUUUUGUACAGGGAUAAACCUCCCCUCGUGAGGGGAGCUGAAGGUACUGUACGAAUAAGCACCGGCUAACUCCGUGCCAGCAGCCGCGGUAAUACGGAGGGUGCAAGCGUUAUCCGGAUUUAUUGGGUUUAAAGGGUCCGUAGGCGGGCCCGUAAGUCAGUGGUGAAAUCUCGCAGCUUAACUGCGAAACUGCCAUUGAUACUGCGGGUCUUGAGUGAAUUUGAAGUGGCUGGAAUAAGUAGUGUAGCGGUGAAAUGCAUAGAUAUUACUUAGAACACCGAUUGCGAAGGCAGGUCACUAAGAUUCAACUGACGCUGAGGGACGAAAGCGUGGGGAGCGAACAGGAUUAGAUACCCUGGUAGUCCACGCCGUAAACGAUGCUAACUCGUUUUCGGGCCGCAAGGCUCGGAGACCAAGCGAAAGUGAUAAGUUAGCCACCUGGGGAGUACGUCCGCAA
RNAcentral lists this ribosomal RNA (794 nucleotides) under uncultured bacterium. RNAcentral's name for it is "bacterial SSU rRNA". It matches the Rfam family "Bacterial small subunit ribosomal RNA", at positions 95 to 891 of the family's 1533-position model. The record is from RNAcentral.